This 484-nucleotide ribosomal RNA is filed under the name uncultured bacterium. RNAcentral describes it as "partial 16S ribosomal RNA". It matches the Rfam family "Bacterial small subunit ribosomal RNA", at positions 30 to 507 of the family's 1533-position model. The record is from RNAcentral.
AUUGAACGCUGGCGGCAGGCCUAAAACAUGCAAGUCGAGCGGAUGAAGGGAGCUUGCUCCUGGAUUCAGCGGCGGACGGGUGAGUAAUGCCUAGGAAUCUGCCUGGUAGUGGGGGAUAACGUCCGGAAACGGGCGCUAAUACCGCAUACGUCCUGAGGGAGAAAGUGGGGGAUCUUCGGACCUCACGCUAUCAGAUGAGCCUAGGUCGGAUUAGCUAGUUGGUGGGGUAAAGGCCUACCAAGGCGACGAUCCGUAACUGGUCUGAGAGGAUGAUCAGUCACACUGGAACUGAGACACGGUCCAGACUCCUACGGGAGGCAGCAGUGGGGAAUAUUGGACAAUGGGCGAAAGCCCGAUCCAGCCAUGCCGCGUGUGUGAAGAAGGUCUUCGGAUUGUAAAGCACUUUAAGUUGGGAGGAAGGGCAGUAAGUUAAUACCUUGCUGUUUUGACGUUACCAACAGAAUAAGCACCGGCUAACUUCGUG